UGCUAAGCCAUGAAACUUGAGAGUAUAUUGAAUAUCUUCGAAAUUAUCCCAACUCAUGUCGUUUUACUAUGAUUUAUUCAUUAAUUUGGUUUUAGGAUAUAAAUAGUCCCGGUUAAAGUGAACAAUUUACAGUUAGUGAUAUAUCGUUCGUAAAAAGCAAAGAACACUGCUUAUUAGGGGAAGGAGUGUUGGAACAUUGGAAAACUGGGGCACUCUUACAACGGGCUUUGUGGAAUUAGCAUCUGAAUAUUACAAGGUUUGGUUGCGAUAGAAGAGGAUACAGACAAUUAUAGACAGGGCAUUAACGACAACAACAUUGAUCCUGGUGACAGAGACUGAGAUUUGGCGAUACUUAUGCAAGGUUAAACGUAGAUCGGAUGCUCUCAACUGAAGACUGAAGUAACGCAUCAUCAGGAAGUGAAUACUGGUCAUCGAGAAACGUCAUAAAUUUUAAAAACAUUCAAGAACAGUCAGAAAUUUGAACUUUCAAGAAAAGUCAAAUUUCGAAAAGAAGGGUAAAGAAAUAUUUGAAAUUGUACUUCAGUCAAGCCUUGUCGGCCAUCAAUAUCAAUUUAUUUAUUGUGCCUUAUCACGAUGUCAUUGUCGUACUCAAACCAAACUGAUUUAAAACGACCAAAUUUAGUUGUUCAAGCCCAUGGCAGAUCCAGGGGGAUUAUUUAGGGACCAUCAAUAACAGAGUUUUCUUCCCAUAUGUUCUGCUCUGAAGAUCACUGGUCUUUGAUGGUAUAAGGCCAGUUUGGAUAACAAGGUAACAAAAUAAGAUGUUAAUUUCCAUUGCUAUUAUAAGCAGGUGCAGUAGAAAUAUACUAAUGCGAAUAUUCAAUCUUAAUUACGGUCUCGUUAUAACUGAAAUUCCAUUAUGGCGUCUUGCGCUAACUGACCGUGUCUCUUAUCUACAGUUCUGACUAGUUGCCUGACCUGAAUUCUACUGGGGUAACGGAAAAAUAACUUUUCACGUGCAGUUUUCAUACAUCUAUGGCUUACCGAUGUUUAGAUUUUUUAAAAUGCGCAGAAUGGUCUUGACUUUUGUGGUAAGCUUACGUCAAGUUUUUUUGACAGAAAUAAUGAUCCGUCCUCACGAAACAACAUCGGAACUAUCGCGUAAAAAAGCAAAAGCAUAAUAAAUUUACGUUCUUGAGUACCUUUACCUCCCCAUAUCAUCGAGCCAAUCAUAAGUUGCAAAAAAAAAAAAAGAAAAAAAAAUGUUUUGAAAAGCCCCGUCAGACCAAAACAAAAUUAACUUGAGAACUCCAUCGCGUACAUUUUGUACUAAUAUAUUUAACAAACUUCUUAUCGGACGCUAGUAGUAGACAGUUGUUGAAAGUACGGUGAAAUACCUGAAAUGGUAUUACGUACAGCACACUAUUAGCAACAUCCUUGCACAUUCACAAAAACAUCAUCCCUUAAUUUGGUCUCAUUAAUAAUUCUAAUUUCAAAGAUACGGUAAUAAUCGAGAUCCAAAAGUUGAAAUAACACCGAAGCAAUGUCAGCUAUUAGAGGGGUCCUUUCCAAACCCUGGAUCUGCCAUUUUAUGAUUUUUUCUUUUUUUAUAUAUAGGUAAUAUUGGCUUGAAUGAAUGAAGUCAGAUUUUGCAUGUAUUUACAUAUAAUAGGUUGAUGUACUGAAGUAUAAUAAGCUGGUUAUAUUUGGAAAGUAUUUGCUAGUUGCUUUUGGCUCUUCAUUAUUUUGAGGAUUGAAACAGAAUUUCUCCCUUGCUAACCAUCAAUUUAGUACUUUUCUGUUUUACCGUUCUUCCAUAUCGCCUUUUGACGCAUAUUUCAUUAAUUUUUAAAGAUUAUUAGCUUCACAAGUUAUAAGUCUUGGUUUUAGCAAAAGUGCGAAUGUCCAGAUUUUGUGCGGUUUUCAUUAAUUUGUUAAGGAUAUUAGAUUCAAGAGGUAUAAUUCUUGGUUUUAUGCAAAACUACUAAUGUCCAGAUUUUGCUCGAGAAUUUUGCUUAGGAACUUGAUAGCCUUCCAAAAUAAAUUAAACGUGUAUAC
This is a long non-coding RNA of Macrobrachium nipponense, 2019 nucleotides long. RefSeq lists it as uncharacterized. NCBI's taxonomy places the organism in Eukaryota, Metazoa, Arthropoda, Malacostraca, Decapoda, Palaemonidae. The transcript is spliced from 3 exons. The record is from RefSeq and is a predicted model, not a curated record.